UGAGCAGGAUGUGAGGGUGGUGGACGGGAG
RNAcentral lists this non-coding RNA (30 nucleotides) under Mus musculus (house mouse). The record is from RNAcentral. Lineage: Eukaryota; Metazoa; Chordata; Mammalia; Rodentia; Muridae.